GGGGGCGUACGGGCUUCGACGUGGGUACCGAGGGCCAGGUGGCAUGCCGUGGCUCCUCACCGCCACGCUAAUCCGGUGAGGGAAACACACAAACGCCAACACUGAGCUGGCACUGGCCGCUUAAGUAAAAGCGGCACGCCCCUCUGAGAAGGCCUGCGGCUCGGAGAGGGCGACCGUAGCAGGCUAAGCCCCUGGGAAGGCCCCAGCCCCGGGGGACGAAAAACCCGUGGGGCUGCAAGGGGAAAGGGGCCCGGUUGCCGGCACCUUCCCCCCAAGCCCAAUAGGCAGCCUAAGCAUGUAGAAGCCUGGAGGUAGGGCCUGCGGACGCGGGUUCGACUCCCGCCGCCUCCACCA
RNAcentral lists this transfer-messenger RNA (354 nucleotides) under Thermodesulfovibrionales. Its description in RNAcentral is "JdFR-88 sp002011795 Standard tmRNA". It matches the Rfam family "transfer-messenger RNA". Rfam says of the family: Bacterial tmRNA, also known as 10Sa RNA or SsrA, is named for its dual tRNA and mRNA-like properties. Lineage: Bacteria; Pseudomonadati; Nitrospirota; Thermodesulfovibrionia. The record is from RNAcentral. RNAcentral also lists the same sequence under 2 other names.